This 492-nucleotide ribosomal RNA is filed under the name uncultured bacterium. RNAcentral describes it as "partial 16S ribosomal RNA". It matches the Rfam family "Bacterial small subunit ribosomal RNA", at positions 29 to 507 of the family's 1533-position model. The record is from RNAcentral.
AGUGAACGCUGGCGGUAGGCCUAACACAUGCAAGUCGAACGGCAGCACAGUAAGAGCUUGCUCUUACGGGUGGCGAGUGGCGGACGGGUGAGGAAUACAUCGGAAUCUACUUUUUCGUGGGGGAUAACGGAGGGAAACUUACGCUAAUACCGCAUACGACCUACGGGUGAAAGCAGGGGAUCUUGGGACCCUGCGCGACUGAAUGAGCCGAUGCCGGACUAGCGAGUUGGCGGGGUAACGGACCACCAUGGCAACGAUCCGUAGCCGGGCUGAGAGGAUGGUCGCCCACCCGGGAACGGAGACACGGUGCAGGCUCCUACGGGAGGCAGCAGUAGGGAAGCUCCCGCAGAGGGCGAAAGCCUGACGGGGCACCGCCGCGUGAGGGAUGAAGGUCUUCGGAUCGUAAAACUCUGUUAUUAGGGAAGAACAUAUGUGUAAGAAACUGUGCACAUCUUGACGGUACCUAAUCAGAAAGCCACGGCUAACUACGUG